AACUUUCAACAACGGAUCUCUUGGCUCUCGCACCGAUGAAGAACGCAGCGAAAUGCGAUACGUAAUGUGAAUUGCAGAAUUCAGUGAAUCAUCGAAUCUUUGAACGCA
RNAcentral lists this ribosomal RNA (108 nucleotides) under uncultured Lactarius. RNAcentral describes it as "5.8S ribosomal RNA". It matches the Rfam family "5.8S ribosomal RNA", at positions 1 to 108 of the family's 154-position model. From Rfam's summary of the family: 5.8S ribosomal RNA (5.8S rRNA) is a component of the large subunit of the eukaryotic ribosome. It is transcribed by RNA polymerase I as part of the 45S precursor that also contains 18S and 28S rRNA. Functionally, it is thought that 5.8S rRNA may be involved in ribosome translocation. Lineage: Eukaryota; Fungi; Basidiomycota; Agaricomycetes; Russulales; Russulaceae. The record is from RNAcentral.